GAACAGUCACAGUGGAAAAAGUAUUUAGUGAAACUAAUACUAUCAAACAACAGCUCACAGAGGGUUUUCAACUAUUAAAUGGGUUUGAGAGCCUUAAUGUAUCUGGACCUAGGGGUGAUGGCCACAUUGUUGAUUUCGAAGUGGAUGUCAGUGUCAUAUUUCUGACUAAAAAACUUACAAAAAUAACAGCUGACCUGGAAACGACUGUAGGCUCCUCUGCCAAAAUAUCUGUUGAAACAUCAGGAU
This 246-nucleotide long non-coding RNA is filed under the name Oncorhynchus kisutch (coho salmon). Its description in RNAcentral is "lncRNA (ENSOKIG00005006250.1)". Lineage: Eukaryota; Metazoa; Chordata; Actinopteri; Salmoniformes; Salmonidae. The record is from RNAcentral.